Molecule: ribosomal RNA, 118 nt
Filed under: Prunus dulcis (almond)
Lineage: Eukaryota; Viridiplantae; Streptophyta; Magnoliopsida; Rosales; Rosaceae
Source: RNAcentral
AAAUGCGAUCAUACAAACUCAUAUGCACUGGAUCCUAUCAGAAUUCCGAAGUUAAGGAGUUUAGGCAAGAGUAGUACUAGGAUGGGUGACCUCCCAGGAAGUCCUCAUGUUGCUUCCC